AUACGGAGGGUGCAAGCGUUGUUCGGAAUCACUGGGCGUAAAGGGCGCGCAGGCGGUUUGGUAAGUCAGAUGUGAAAGCCCACGGCUCAACCGUGGAAGUGCAUUUGAAACUGUCAGACUUGAGUACUAGAGGGGAAAGUGGAAUUCCCGGUGUAGAGGUGAAAUUCGUAGAUAUCGGGAGGAAUACCGGUGGCGAAGGCGACUUACUGGACCAAUACUGACGCUGAGACGCGAAAGCGUGGGGAGCAAACAGGAUUAGAUACCCCAGUAGUCC
Molecule: ribosomal RNA, 274 nt
Filed under: uncultured bacterium
Lineage: Bacteria
Description: partial 16S ribosomal RNA
Rfam family: Bacterial small subunit ribosomal RNA
Source: RNAcentral